This 65-nucleotide transfer RNA is filed under the name Streptomyces acidiscabies. RNAcentral describes it as "tRNA-Lys". It matches the Rfam family "tRNA", at positions 5 to 66 of the family's 71-position model. Rfam says of the family: Transfer RNA (tRNA) molecules are approximately 80 nucleotides in length. Their secondary structure includes four short double-helical elements and three loops (D, anti-codon, and T loops). The record is from RNAcentral. Lineage: Bacteria; Bacillati; Actinomycetota; Actinomycetes; Kitasatosporales; Streptomycetaceae.
CGCUAGCUCAGUUGGUUAGAGCAGCUGACUCUUAAUCAGCGGGUCCGGGGUUCGAGUCCCUGGCG